This is a long non-coding RNA of Dendrobium catenatum, 1189 nucleotides long. RefSeq lists it as uncharacterized. The record is from RefSeq and is a predicted model, not a curated record. The transcript has 3 exons. NCBI's taxonomy places the organism in Eukaryota, Viridiplantae, Streptophyta, Magnoliopsida, Asparagales, Orchidaceae.
UGAUAUCGAAUAGGCCGGCCUUGCACUCGCGGCGAAUCUGUCAGAUUGUUAUUAAAACUCUGGGAGUCGAGAGAGAGAGCGUCGCAGGAGAUCCACCGGAAACAGUACUCCCAUCCCUUCCUUGGCUGCGAACAGAUCGACCGCCUACCCCACCGGAAACCCUAGGAAAUAGCACCUGCAAUCGAUCCCGACUAUUGUUCGUUCAGAUUUCUCGUGCGCGUUUGAUUCAGCAAUCAUAAACCCUUCUCUAUCAACUCUCCUGCGGGAGGUCCUGCGAGCGAAGUCUCUUAAAGAUGCGAUCUUCGGUCCCGUUUUCCGCAAUCCAGGAUUUUAUUUGUAUAGCAUGAAGGAGACGACGCGCUGUGUUUUGGACACGGUUGAAGUGCUCUCUGCGGAUCGCCACGGGUUUCAGGGUUCUGAUGGCGUCUUCGCCCGUCAAGUUUCUCUUCGCAUUUCUUUUCGUUUCUUCCGUUGGAUGGAUUAUCUUCACAUUUGCUUCAAGAUUAUUGGCUUGGUUCUUGAGCCGCAUAUUGGGAGCAUCUGUUGGGUUUAGGGUUGCUGGCUGCAAUUGUUUAAGAGAUGUUAGUUUGAAGUUCAAUAAGGCAUAUAAGCUUGUUUAAGAAAAGAAAAAAAGAUUCCUGAUAUGUCAGAAAGCUGCAUGGGUCCAGAACGGUUACCCACUUCAUCCUUGCCUUUUAAAUACCUCUCCGACAUGUUCAAAAGUAGAGGUCUUUAAUUGUUGGGGAUUGAAAGUGUGAUGUAAAUUUUACUAACAAGUUUGCUAGUUAUUGAUGUAGAACGGAAGGGAAGAAGAUGCGAAGCUCCGGUGUAGUCGUUGGAUUGUUUGAGAUGGAGUGGACAGCAACCCGAACUUCCUAGCUGCCUUUGGGCAACAACCGACCUCUUUCCGGCUGGUUGGACAACACAACUUUUUGCUGGAAUGUUCUGGACAGCAAGCCUUGGCCCUAGGAACCCUGGACAGCAGCUCUCAAGGCUAUGGAAUAUCUGGACAGCACCCACAAUUUUGUCCGGAAGUCUGGACAACAGUUUGGCGGGGAAAAUUUCACCGUUCCAGAUCUCUGGAUGCAGGAAACUAAAGGAAUGUUGUAGAGGAAUAUGUGAACAACAAUGAGAGUAAUCUUGGGAUUAAUUUACUUGCUUAGGUGACAAGUUUAAUUAAAUCCCAAAU